Molecule: ribosomal RNA, 506 nt
Filed under: uncultured bacterium
Lineage: Bacteria
Description: partial 16S ribosomal RNA
Rfam family: Bacterial small subunit ribosomal RNA
Source: RNAcentral
AGUGAACGCUGGCGGUAGGCCUAACAUAUGCAAGUCGAACGGCAGCACAGGAGAGCUUGCUCUCUGGGUGGCGAGUGGCGGACGGGUGAGGAAUACAUCGGAAUCUACUCUGUCGUGGGGGAUAACGUAGGGAAACUUACGCUAAUACCGCAUACGACCUACGGGUGAAAGCAGGGGACCUUCGGGCCUUGCGCGAUUGAAUGAGCCGAUGUCGGAUUAGCUAGUUGGCGGGGUAAAGGCCCACCAAGGCGACGAUCCGUAGCUGGUCUGAGAGGAUGAUCAGCCACACUGGAACUGAGACACGGUCCAGACUCCUACGGGAGGCAGCAGUGGGGAAUAUUGAACAAUGGGCGCAAGCCUGAUCCAGCCAUACCGCGUGGGUGAAGAAGGCCUUCGGGUUGUAAAGCCCUUUUGUUGGGAAAGAAAUCCAGCUGGCUAAUACCCGGUUGGGAUGACGGUACCCAAAGAAUAAGCACCGGCUAACUUCGUGCCAGCAGCCGCCGUAA